Molecule: small RNA, 577 nt
Filed under: Arabidopsis thaliana (thale cress)
Lineage: Eukaryota; Viridiplantae; Streptophyta; Magnoliopsida; Brassicales; Brassicaceae
Description: ATSL212370
Source: RNAcentral
GAAAAAAAAUUAACAACACUCACUUUUUAAGCUCUUUUUGCUAGCUUUGAAGUUUACAACCAUAUGACAAUAUUCUAGAGUACUUAGGCGGCUCUAGCCAACUUCUAGAAUACUUAUACUAAUCUCCUAAACCCUAAUCUCUAGGAUCUUCAAGAAUCAGGAUCUUCCUUAAUCUACAAGCUUAUCCCUUUUCCAUAUUUGACGAGAAGGAAAUUCACCAUAUCUUCUCGACCGACAUUCGUCUUUGAUCACCAUGCCAAGUCAGCAACUUUACUUGGCUUCUCACAUCAACCGCUACAUCCCUGCCACGUUAGCUCACACGUCCAUAUCAGUAGUCUCUGCCGUUUAGUGUGAUCUGAUGCAACUUCUUGAUUUCCGACAGCUCCUUGAUAUCCAUCAGCUCACUAUUGUCAGAAUCUACAUCUUCAGAAAUAUGUUUAGAUUUUUAAUUAACUUAAUCAGCACUAAUACAAAAAAGCUAUUCUCGAAAAAAAAAGAAGAGUUGAUUAAUCUUUUAAAAACUAAAAAGAGGGAAUAAAUUAUAAAGCAGUUUCCCUUGUUGUGUGCUUGUAAAAUU